ACUUCGAAGAUCUUAGAAAAACACCAAA
Molecule: small RNA, 28 nt
Filed under: Bombyx mori (domestic silkworm)
Lineage: Eukaryota; Metazoa; Arthropoda; Insecta; Lepidoptera; Bombycidae
Description: ovarian small RNA-11725
Source: RNAcentral